CUUAGAUGUGUCUUGCUCAACCGUUUGAUAUGAUAUUAUAUCCCAUCUGGGUGGUAAGCAAGAAACAGAUGUAUGAGAAAGAAUAACCACUAUAUUUUUAAAGUUCAAGCUUAAGGCAGUAUCUUUUUAAUAAGAUAAAGAUUUAUUUAACUACAGCUUUCUUUGGCUUUUACUUAUUUUGUCAUCAACAAUACUUCUGAAUUGAAGAAAAUAGGAGGGAUGGUUCUGUUUUACCUAGACUAAGUUUUUUUAUUUUUUUUCACUAAUCAAUAGGAAUUUAAUUGAUUGUUGUGUUUUUGGUUUUUUUUUUUUUAAUUUGAAAAUUUUUAAUUGUAUUGUUCAUAGGUUGAGUCCGGUUUUUCAUUUUUGUUGUCUGUUUUUAAUUUGCAGGUAGUACAUAUUGAAGGGGGAGAAAUUUAGACUGGAAACAAAGAAAAGAGGAGUAUUGUUUGCGAGUCUGGGUUUUGAGCGAUCAACUAGAAAAGGUUCAAGGUUGUUUAUAUGGAUGAGCCUAGCACUGGACUCGAUCCAGCUUCAAGACAUAAUCUAUACGGGCAAAACAAAGAAAAGAGGGAUCAUCCUAACAAAUAGCCAUAGACAGCGGAUAAUAAGUUGGAUUGAUGGCACAUGACAGCUAUCAGCUACAUUUGACUUCACAACCUAGGGAGUUCUUUAGGUAUCAUCCAUUUUCAAUCGGUCUGAGAUGUUUGACUCCCAGCUGACUGCUACACCCACAUAUGCACACAUAAAAUCUCUCUCUUGAGUGGACAUCUACAUUUGUUCUUGUUUUGACCAUUGGAUAUGAGUCCUGGCCAUUAUAACCAUUAGUAUCCAGUAAUUUAUGCCAAGUUUCCAAACAUUUUUGUUAUGAUUGUUUAUUUCUAUAUAAGAAACUAAAAUAGGCAACUAUUACAUGAAAAUAUCUUCUCAUCUAAGCACAUGAGUACCCCAAGUAUGCUUGGUCAUGUUAUAUUAGUUCAUUUCUACAAGACUGGCAUCUAAAUUGAGAUUUCCUUUUAACAUGUUAUGUUUGUUUCUCCCCUAUUUUGGUGAUAAUCAUGCAUGCUUCUGUGUAGGAAGCUGUCAAGGGACAAUUAUGGAGAUUAUGUGAUCCCCAAGGGAAGCCACCAGGUGUAAUACAGUAGUACAGCUAGCUAGUUCCUAUAUUUAACUUGUGUCUAGUAGAAAUUCUUCCUUCAUUAAGAAUGUGGACUUGUUUGCAGAUUCAAAUUAGUAGAUAUGGGCUAUUUUGAACUGAUGCUCAUGAUUAGGUUUGUGUACAUGAGACAAUGAUGGAUUAGUGGAAAUUGCAAUGAAUGAUUUUGGAUGUGGAUUUUAUGGUUUCA
Rosa rugosa (rugosa rose) is the source of this 1346-nucleotide long non-coding RNA. RefSeq lists it as uncharacterized. The record is from RefSeq and is a predicted model, not a curated record. The transcript is spliced from 4 exons. Lineage: Eukaryota; Viridiplantae; Streptophyta; Magnoliopsida; Rosales; Rosaceae.